RNAcentral lists this ribosomal RNA (207 nucleotides) under uncultured Clostridium sp. RNAcentral describes it as "partial 16S ribosomal RNA". It matches the Rfam family "Bacterial small subunit ribosomal RNA", at positions 568 to 775 of the family's 1533-position model. Lineage: Bacteria; Bacillati; Bacillota; Clostridia; Eubacteriales; Clostridiaceae. The record is from RNAcentral.
UGCGUAGGCGGUCUUUCAAGCCAGAAGUGAAAGGCUACGGCUCAACCGUAGUAAGCUUUUGGAACUGUAAGACUUGAGUGCAGGAGAGGAGAGUGGAAUUCCUAGUGUAGCGGUGAAAUGCGUAGAUAUUAGGAGGAACACCAGUAGCGAAGGCGGCUCUCUGGACUGUAACUGACGCUGAGGCACGAAAGCGUGGGGAGCAAACGA